UACGUAGGGUGCAAGCGUUGUCCGGAAUUAUUGGGCGUAAAGAGCUCGUAGGCGGUCUGUCGCGUCGGCUGUGAAAACCCGGAGCUCAACUCCGGGCCUGCAGUCGAUACGGGCAAACUGGAGUGUUGCAGGGGAGACUGGAAUUCCUGGUGUAGCGGUGAAAUGCGCAGAUAUCGGGAGGAACACCAGUAGCGAAGGCGGCUCGCUGGGCCACACCUGACGCUGAGACGCGAAAGCUAGGGGAGCGAACAGG
Molecule: ribosomal RNA, 253 nt
Filed under: uncultured bacterium
Lineage: Bacteria
Description: partial 16S ribosomal RNA
Rfam family: Bacterial small subunit ribosomal RNA
Source: RNAcentral